Molecule: ribosomal RNA, 45 nt
Filed under: uncultured Tomentella
Lineage: Eukaryota; Fungi; Basidiomycota; Agaricomycetes; Thelephorales; Thelephoraceae
Description: partial 28S ribosomal RNA
Source: RNAcentral
UUGAUCUCAAAUCAGGUAGGACUACCCGCUGAACUUAAGCAUAUC